AUUGAACGCUGGCGGCAGGCCUAACACAUGCAAGUCGAGCGAGAAAGGUCUUCGGACUGAGUACAGCGGCGGACGGGUGAGUAACGCGUAGGAAUCUACCUGGUAGUGGGGGACAACAUGGGGAAACCCAUGCUAAUACCGCAUACGCCCUAUGGGGGAAAGCGGGGGACCUUCGGGCCUCGCGCUAUCAGAUGAGCCUGCGUAGGAUUAGCUUGUUGGUGAGGUAAAGGCUCACCAAGGCGACGAUCCUUAGCUGGUCUGAGAGGAUGAUCAGCCACACUGGAACUGAGACACGGUCCAG
This 301-nucleotide ribosomal RNA is filed under the name uncultured bacterium. RNAcentral's name for it is "bacterial SSU rRNA". It matches the Rfam family "Bacterial small subunit ribosomal RNA", at positions 30 to 334 of the family's 1533-position model. The record is from RNAcentral.